AGAACGAACGCUGGCGGCAUGCCUAAUACAUGCAAGUCGAACGAACUCUUCGGAGUUAGUGGCGCACGGGUGCGUAACGCGUGGGAAUCUGCCCUUGGGUUCGGAAUAACAGUUGGAAACGACUGCUAAUACCGGAUGAUGACGAAAGUCCAAAGAUUUAUCGCCCAGGGAUGAGCCCGCGUAGGAUUAGCUAGUUGGUGAGGUAAAGGCUCACCAAGGCGACGAUCCUUAGCCGGUCUGAGAGGAUGAUCAGCCACACUGGGACUGAGACACGGCCCAGACUCUACGGGAGCAGCAGUAGGAAUAUUGGACAAUGGGCGAAAGCCUGA
Molecule: ribosomal RNA, 329 nt
Filed under: uncultured soil bacterium
Lineage: Bacteria
Description: bacterial SSU rRNA
Rfam family: Bacterial small subunit ribosomal RNA
Source: RNAcentral